Molecule: long non-coding RNA, 1747 nt
Organism: Anser cygnoides (Swan goose)
Lineage: Eukaryota; Metazoa; Chordata; Aves; Anseriformes; Anatidae
Source: Ensembl
AUGUCGGGCUGCUGUCACCUGCCUCGUUUUGCCCUCUCGCUGGAUGAGAGCUCCCUUCUGCCUCCACCUCUGGCAGGCCCAGAGCCACUCCUGGUGCAGGAGAUCUCCCCACCUCCGUCCUCCCCCUGCCCAGGACAUGGGAGGUUGUGGACACGCCGAGAGCUUCCAGGAGCCAGGCCCCAGGAGCGCCCAAAGAUUGUUUUGCGUGCUUUAAGCUUCCAAUUAUUCGGAAUCCCAACUUCAUUGUUUAACAAAGGGGAUUUUCCCCUCUUCCUCUCUCCCCAGGCCGUGUCCCAUCCAGUUGCAACGCCUGACAAACGGGCUUGUCACCGUGCCCUGGACAGCCAGCUGCAGGGCCGGCAGCGUGAGCAUCGCUCAGCCAGCCUCAGCUCACCGUGGGGAGCACCGUCGAGCAGCACGCAGAUGUGCGGGCAGCACCGCUUCCUCCUCCUUUGGCUCAGGAAGAAGAAAAGCCGGAGGAAUAACUCACGGGACUCGAGGGCCCGGCUGGGUUUCCCCCCUGCGGAGGACGGGGAGCACGGCCCGUCAUUUUGUCCUCGCCUUCCCUUUCGCUGCCUUUCUCGAACUGCCAGCCCUUUUGUUCCCAUUUUACCAUUUGCCGUCGGCCUCGGUGGGCUGGAUCCCACGGGUGGGGAGGAGAUGUUCCUGGAGAGCAACAAGGGGGUGUUCUCCCUGGAGAACCGGGCUGCUGCAGGGCUGAAGCUGCUUUGUCUGAAGGCUCCGUGACCUGCCCUGUAUAGGGGCUUGUCGUGGGCAAAACAGUCCCAAUUUGGGAAAUUUUUACUUAAUUAAAGGUAUUGCCAGUUAAUACGCAUUUUUAGCCAGCAGUCUGUGUAUUAAACAAGCUAUAACAAUGGAACAAGCAUUCUGCCCGCCACCCCAGGGCAUCUCUUGGCCCAAACACAAACCUCUCCCAUGCCUAGUCGCAGCUUCCCUUGUUCCAGGUUCCACUCGAUCUGUCCCAAAUGCUUCGAGAGGUUACAGCCAUGCACAGCUGUUUCUGGCUGCCACCUCUCCGUGCUUCUUAAUGGGUUUCUCCCACUCCUGUGGUGCUGGUCCCCCCCAGCCGCGGUCCCUCAGGGAUGUCACCCAUGGCGUGUCCCACGUGUGAGCACAUCUCCAGCUCCCGUCUCCUGCCCCACCUCCGCCCCACGUCUCCUCCAGCAUCGCUGUUCGGGAUCACAGCUCGGCAGGGACCGCCGCUCCCGCACGGUCCCGCAGGACUUUUGUUCUGUUGGUGCCAGGAGCUGCAUUGACUGAGCCCCGCAGCGCCAAACAGCAGCUGGCUGCGGUCAGCAGCCUCUGGGAGAAAGCACCGGGGGUGAGAAAGGUGGGGAAAACGCCCCGGCUGCAGGAUACAUCCCAGCGCUUGUGCUUCCCCAGCACCUCGCCCUCCUCGUGGUGCCCCGCCACGGGCAGCUCUUUGCAGAGCUCAGUCCCGGUGGCAGGGACCCCUGCGCUUAGCUGGGGUGUUAAUUAUGCUCGGGCACUUGCGGCAAUUAAAACGUUGCUGGCCGUUCUCUGCCCCAGCUGUAACAACAGCUGCUGGAGCCGGGUCGCUGCAGCGCUGGGCGCAGGAGGCAAGACAAAGGGUUUUCGGCAGCAGGGCUUGCCAGGAGAGCUCUUCCAGGGCAGGGAGUUCCUCCGAGGAGGAAAUCCCAUCUCGCUCUCCCUCCCUGUCCCCAAACACGCCGUGACUCUGGUAUCUUGCUGUCCUUGCCGGAGC